This 484-nucleotide ribosomal RNA is filed under the name uncultured bacterium. RNAcentral's name for it is "partial 16S ribosomal RNA". It matches the Rfam family "Bacterial small subunit ribosomal RNA", at positions 30 to 507 of the family's 1533-position model. The record is from RNAcentral.
AUUGAACGCUGGCGGCAGGCCUAACACAUGCAAGUCGAGCGGAUGAAGGGAGCUUGCUCCUGGAUUCAGCGGCGGACGGGUGAGUAAUGCCUAGGAAUCUGCCUGGUAGUGGGGGAUAACGUCCGGAAACGGGCGCUAAUACCGCAUACGUCCUGAGGGAGAAAGUGGGGGAUCUUCGGACCUCACGCUAUUAGAUGAGCCUAGGUCGGAUUAGCUAGUUGGUGGGGUAAAGGCCUACCAAGGCGACGAUCCGUAACUGGUCUGAGAGGAUGAUCAGUCACACUGGAACUGAGACACGGUCCAGACUCCCACGGGAGGCAGCAGUGGGGAAUAUUGGACAAUGGGCGAAAGCCUGAUCCAGCCAUGCCGCGUGUGUGAAGAAGGUCUUCGGAUUGUAAAGCACUUUAAGUUGGGAGGAAGGGCAGUAAGUUAAUACCUUGCUGUUUUGACGUUACCAACAGAAUAAGCACCGGCUAACUUCGUG